Cottoperca gobio is the source of this 920-nucleotide long non-coding RNA. RefSeq lists it as uncharacterized. The record is from RefSeq and is a predicted model, not a curated record. The transcript is spliced from 3 exons. NCBI's taxonomy places the organism in Eukaryota, Metazoa, Chordata, Actinopteri, Perciformes, Bovichtidae.
AAGAAGAAAACGAGGCACCGCUGCUGCUAAACUGGCACCGCUAAUCUUCAAGUUUGAGACAGGAGGUUUAAAGGAGGAGCUUGUGCGGAAGAGCAUUUCCCAUGUUCUGCUGCCCUGAUGACCCCGCUGGCUGAACUCUUCUUCUGACAGGUCUCUGAUGAGCAAGCCCACUCUGGCCGGUAAAGAGCGUGCGCGCUGUGUGGGCCGGAUCGCUCCGGAGUUUCUGUCUUGAACAGCGAGCGUUAGUCAUCCAUGUUGGUGGAUAAAGAGAACAAGUAGCUCAGGUGGGUGGAAGUGCCCUCAUAUUGGAUCACAGAGAGGCCUCAAAAACAAAGAACAAUGCCUCUGAGAUGAGAAGCUGUAAGAGAGCACCAUUUCUCUAAACGGGGCUUCAAAAAUAAACGUAUUUUAGGGCAGCUUAUGUGUAACCAAGAGGUAUUAGUCCACCUAAUAUAAGAGCUUCUCAUUAAGCCAAUUAGGUCUAGUUAUAAGUUUAAGUUAAGGUUUUGUAAUGGUAAUAAUUCCCGAGGAAGUUUCCUGAAAAGAACUUUAUAAAUUGGCACAUGUGUUUUUUGUGAGUCCUUCAAUUUGUGGAAGGGCAAUACUAAUCACCAGAGUGCCCAUUAUUAAACUGGAAGUGUACUAAAUGGACACUUAUCUCCAUUUUUCUUACAAGUAUUCCAAAUGUCGCAGUUCUUGGCAAAUCUUCAGAAAUGACAAAACCUCUAAUAUAAAGGAUUACCCGAUUUGAUAUAUAAAAUCAGACAUUGUUCAAAAUCCUUCAUGGACUUGAUGACUUUUUAAAUGACACAUUGCCCUAUCAGUAUAAAGACACUGACAUCAGCAGCAUAUAGACCAGUAGAUUUACUUUAUAUUUUGCUUAUAGUUAAUCAAAUUAUUUGAUUGUCUGAGGCCGUGUA